UCGAGCUGUUCGGUGAAAACAUCGCCGUGGGUCUGUAGAAGUGGAGCGCGGCAAUGGUGGCGUGGCUGGAGGAAGCAGCGGUCGUAACUUGCCUAACCUAAGCUCAGCGAAGGAAAAAGAGAGAUGACACCAAGGGAAGUAAAGGACCCAGUGAUGACUCAAAAGGAAUCCGUCCCAGAAUGUUGCUGCAAGGACCUACAAGGUCAGGGGUGUUGUAUCCCAGAUUCAUUGUCAGAUAGCAUCAACUUGAAAGUGACCAGCGGCACCACUUUUUCCGAAGAACAGGCCAUGCCAGCGGAGACGUUUACGGCCAAACAACCAUCGGCUCCUGAUGGUGGCUGGGGUUGGGUUGUUGUGCUGGCUACAAUUCUUAUCUUGGCAUUGACUCUGGCUUUCCCUUCUUGUUUGGGAAUCUUCUACACUGAACUACAAAACCAGUUUGAAGCCAGCAACAGUGAGACAUCAUGGGUGCCAUCUAUUAUGACAGCUGUACUGCACGCAGGAGGUCCGCUGUGCAGUAUCUUAGUGGAACAUUAUGGCUGUCGUUUCACUGUAAUGCUUGGUGGGCUUUUGAGUGGCAUCGGCAUGGCUGCUAGCUCCUUCUCCCAGACGAUUGGUCAGCUUUAUCUCACUGCUGGGUUCAUCACAGGUUUCGGAUGUUGUCUGAGCUUUCAGCCAUCCAUCACCAUCAUGGGACAUUACUUUGUGCGCCGCAGACCACUUGCCAAUGCACUGGCAUCAACGGGCACUGCCCUUGGCUUGUCGACUCUUCCAAUUCUGGCCCAGUACCUGCUAAGCCACAUGGGAUGGAGAGGAAGCUUCCUUAUUUUUGGGGGUAUCCUGCUGAACUGUUGUGUCUGUGGGGCAGUCAUGCGGCCGGUGUUGCCUCGAAAAAGGAAGGAAGUCCAAAACCAGUCGCACAACCAGAUAACCGGGAAAAAGGACAAAAUAGCACAAGUGGAAGCCAAGAAGAUGAGUAAUGGGCUUCCAUCCCAUGUAAAACACGAUACUGGUAGAAAAUUAGCUUCCUUUACCUUAUUGCUUCAGAAGUACAUGGCCUUUGAUCUCUUCUGCCGUAACAAGCGCUACCAAAUCUAUGCGGUGGGGGUAACAUGGAUGAUGCUGGGAUUUGUCGUACCUUUGAUAUACCUUGUGCCUUACGCAACCGACUAUGGGAUGGAACAAAGCAAAGCUGCCCUGCUCCUUGCUAUUCUGGGAUUUAUCAACAUCUUCAUGCGACCCUUAGCUGGCCUAAUCUCAGGGCACCGCUUCUUCUCAGGGAAAUACAUUUACGUAUUUAGCUUUGCCGUACUUGUCAAUGGUCUGAGUGACUGCAUUUGCGUCAUCUCUGCAAGUUUCAAUGUGCUACUUGUUUACGUCGUAGCAUAUGGCAUAUCUAUGAGUUUCAUUGGGUCCCUGCUCUUCCAAGUACUGAUGGACACUGUUGAGAUACAGAGGUUUCCCAGUGCUCUGGGGCUUGUUACCAUAAUGGAGAGUGUGACUAUCCUCAUUGGGCCACCGUUAACAGGCCUCAUUGUGGAUACUACCCUGGAGUACAAGUACGUUUUCUACGCCUGCAGCGCCGCAGUGGCAUCCUCUGCAGUCUUCAUGGGUGUGUCCACCUACCUUUUAGAGGGCAAAGAAAGCAAGAUCAGCGCAAUACAGGACCAGGCGCCAGUUUUCUCAUCAGACUGUCGAUACACUGGGAUGGAGCAGGAAAGGGUGCUUGUGCAGAGGAGAAGCACUGAGACGGUUUACAUCACCAGCGUUUGAAGCCACUAUAGAUGUCUGAUGUGGAAAGCGUUUCACCACAGUGAGAUUUGGUCUACCUAGAAUUAUGAUAGCGCCCUGUCCCACUGGCAUCACACCAUAAUAAUAAAUCCAAUGACGUAGAAACCCCACUGAUGCUUUACCAGUCAUGGUGCUUCAGCAGAUAACUUGUCCAAAAAUGAGAAGAAAUAUUCUGAUCAUGUGGUGGGAAACACUGCCCUUAUCUGCAAGGAUGGGGUUGCUGUACCCAAGAAGAGGGACGUGCAAAUGUUUCGGACUGUUUGAAGACUGCAGUAUGUGAGCGAACAAGAUUGUUAAAAAGAAUCUUUUUGAUGAAAAGACAAUUCAAGAUUAUCAAGUCCUGCUCACCGAAUGUCCAAAAUUAGAUGGAGAUUUGAAGGUCCGCUAGGUGCUGCUGUCAACUACACUGCUUUUUCUGGAAUUCUUUGUGUAAAAGAAAUUUUGGAACAGUUCCCACCUUUGCCUCAGUGACCUUGUGGAAAAAUCCAUUUCAGAUUAACAGCUGGCGUCCUUCUAUAAUUUCAAAUGUACAAACCCACACCAAAGUUGACACAGUGUGGAAGCGAGAUAAAAUGUGGUGGAGGUGUUCAACUCUUUUAACCUUCCAGCUUUCCAAUGGCAGACUUUUAAGUGAAGUGAUGAUUUGUGUGUGAUACUCAGCCUUAACUUUAGCAAUUUUGGAGGUCAACUUACAUUUUCAAAGAAACGUCUGAUGAAAAUUUGUUAGAUUUGGUAACUCCUUUCAAUUUGAUAUCAUUGCCAGCCAAAUGUCAUGGCCUGUGAAUGUCGUCUUCUGUUUACGGAAAGAGUGCCUAGCGUCUAGUCAUCAUCAGAAAGUUCAUAUUCUGCUAUUUAAAGAAAGAAGAACGCAUGACGCCAAGGAAUGGUCACUUCAGCCUGAGAUUGUCAAGUUCACAGAACAUUUCUGGAGGUGUAGGAUGAGUCGGACACACUCUGCACUUCCCAACUGCGGUAGUCGUGGGGAGGAAAAGAAGAAAUUGGCGGGUUUGACGAAGACUACGAGUCAACCACAAACCGAACGGAGCUUCAACACGUGAGUGUGUCGCUUGACCGUGAAAAAUCUCCGAUUUCAGUUCCUGAUGACUACCCCUCAAGAGAGUAAAAGGAGCAGAAAAUGGAUUUCCUUCUAAACCCUUACCACGUCCUCGGAUUUGGGUUUGAAAUCAAUAAAAGCCCCCAAAUUUUCAUCUGGUCAAAUCAAAGUGUAUUCGCUGUGACAAAUACAGGGAGAUUCAUGCAAAAAGAGGCUCCAAAUAUUCUGUUGUAACUCCCGUUUGGAUGAAGCAAUCUGAAC
RNA transcript from Polypterus senegalus (gray bichir), 3106 nucleotides. It is a transcript of the gene named solute carrier family 16 member 5a, with no coding region annotated. The transcript is spliced from 6 exons. The record is from RefSeq and is a predicted model, not a curated record. Lineage: Eukaryota; Metazoa; Chordata; Cladistia; Polypteriformes; Polypteridae.